RNAcentral lists this unclassified non-coding RNA (221 nucleotides) under plant metagenome. RNAcentral's name for it is "partial contains small subunit ribosomal RNA, internal transcribed spacer 1, and 5.8S ribosomal RNA". The stretch from base 173 to 221 matches the Rfam family "5.8S ribosomal RNA", at positions 1 to 49 of the family's 154-position model. The record is from RNAcentral.
UCUCCGUCGGUGAACCAGCGGAGGGAUCAUUAUCGAGUUUAUAACUCCCAAACCCUAUGUGAACUUACCACUUGUUGCUUCGGCGCGCGCUUCGGUGCCGCCGAGGACACUUAAACUCUUUGUUUUUAUAAGCAUUUCUGAGUGGCCGAAAGGCAAAAUACAAAUGAAUCAAAACUUUCAACAACGGAUCUCUUGGUUCUGGCAUCGAUGAAGAACGCAGU